CAGCCGCCGCGGUAAUACGGAGGGUGCAAGCGUUAAUCGGAAUUACUGGGCGUAAAGCGCACGCAGGCGGUCUGUCAAGUCGGAUGUGAAAUCCCCGGGCUCAACCUGGGAACUGCAUUCGAAACUGGCAGGCUAGAGUCUUGUAGAGGGGGGUAGAAUUCCAGGUGUAGCGGUGAAAUGCGUAGAGAUCUGGAGGAAUACCGGUGGCGAAGGCGGCCCCCUGGACAAAGACUGACGCUCAGGUGCGAAAGCGUGGGGAGCAAACAGGAUUAGAUACCCCUGUAGUCCCUGUCUCUUAUAA
This 301-nucleotide ribosomal RNA is filed under the name uncultured bacterium. Its description in RNAcentral is "partial 16S ribosomal RNA". It matches the Rfam family "Bacterial small subunit ribosomal RNA", at positions 509 to 809 of the family's 1533-position model. The record is from RNAcentral.